RNAcentral lists this transfer RNA (69 nucleotides) under Marmota monax (woodchuck). Its description in RNAcentral is "tRNA.Ser". The record is from RNAcentral. Lineage: Eukaryota; Metazoa; Chordata; Mammalia; Rodentia; Sciuridae.
GGACAUAGCUCAGUGGUGGAGCAUUUGCCUCGAGUGUACAAGGCUCUGGGUUUGAUCCCCAGCAUCACA